RNAcentral lists this ribosomal RNA (814 nucleotides) under uncultured soil bacterium. RNAcentral's name for it is "bacterial SSU rRNA". It matches the Rfam family "Bacterial small subunit ribosomal RNA", at positions 57 to 869 of the family's 1533-position model. The record is from RNAcentral.
GCAAGUCGAACGGUAACAGGUCUUCGGAUGCUGACGAGUGGCGAACGGGUGAGUAAUACAUCGGAACGUGCCCGAUCGUGGGGGAUAACGGAGCGAAAGCUUUGCUAAUACCGCAUACGAUCUACGGAUGAAAGCAGGGGACCGCAAGGCCUUGCGCGGACGGAGCGGCCGAUGGCAGAUUAGGUAGUUGGUGGGAUAAAAGCUUACCAAGCCGACGAUCUGUAGCUGGUCUGAGAGGACGACCAGCCACACUGGGACUGAGACACGGCCCAGACUCCUACGGGAGGCAGCAGUGGGGAAUUUUGGACAAUGGGCGCAAGCCUGAUCCAGCCAUGCCGCGUGCAGGAUGAAGGCCUUCGGGUUGUAAACUGCUUUUGUACGGAACGAAAAGACUCUGGUUAAUACCUGGGGUCCAUGACGGUACCGUAAGAAUAAGCACCGGCUAACUACGUGCCAGCAGCCGCGGUAAUACGUAGGGUGCAAGCGUUAAUCGGAAUUACUGGGCGUAAAGCGUGCGCAGGCGGUUAUGUAAGACAGAUGUGAAAUCCCCGGGCUCAACCUGGGAACUGCAUUUGUGACUGCAUAGCUAGAGUACGGCAGAGGGGGAUGGAAUUCCGCGUGUAGCAGUGAAAUGCGUAGAUAUGCGGAGGAACACCGAUGGCGAAGGCAAUCCCCUGGGCCUGUACUGACGCUCAUGCACGAAAGCGUGGGGAGCAAACAGGAUUAGAUAUCCUGGUAGUCCACGCCCUAAACGAUGUCAACUGGUUGUUGGGAAUUCACUUUCUCAGUAACGAAGCUAACGCGUGAAGUUGAC